RNAcentral lists this ribosomal RNA (300 nucleotides) under uncultured bacterium. RNAcentral describes it as "bacterial SSU rRNA". It matches the Rfam family "Bacterial small subunit ribosomal RNA", at positions 496 to 795 of the family's 1533-position model. The record is from RNAcentral.
GCCAAGUACGUGCGAGCGGCGGGGGUCAGACGUGGGUGGGGAGCGUUGACCGGAAGUACUUGGCGUAAAGGGUGUGCAGGCGGGUUGUGAAGUCGGGUGUGAAAUCCGUAAGCUCAACCGAGGGCGUGCAGUCGAUACUGCGGGACUAGAGUAUUGUAGGGGGGAGUAGAAUUCGAGGGGUAGCGGUGAAAUGCGAAGAUAUCAGGAGGAAUACCGGUGGCGAAGGCGAGUCCCUGGGCAGAAACUGACGCUGAGGAGCGAAAGCGUGGGGAGCGAACAGGAUUAGAUACCCGAGUAGUC